UGAUCAAGAAUUGGUUUCCAUUUUUCUGUUGAUUGGGAGUGAUGAAAGAGUGAUGAAUUAUGGUAGUUUUNAGAAGACUUCAGCUCGGAUUGCCUUGUUAUCAUCAUGUUCACAAUACUUGAUUGAAGCCUUUUCCUAGGGACCAUGAAAGUGGUUGCCCCAAGCUUGUUCUCCACUUCAACUGCAUUAUCUUCGGCCUUUUGAGUGUGAACUUGCCCCUGAGUACGCUCCUGAGGGUGAAGUGUAAUUUAUGGAAGACCAUGUAAGGGAAAAUUUGAGUCUCUGAUACUCUUUGUUGCAGUCGUGGUGAACACGAAUCUUCAGUUCCCUGUAAGGCAUUCAGGGCCUCUAAGGCUUGGCUCAUUUGCCCCUUCAAUUGUUGGAUAUCAACUUUUCAUCCCUUCUUGAACUUCUCCUUGGUUCUCCAAGAUUUAGUAACUGGUUCGAGUCCUUUUUUUUUUUGAUUUUUUUCUUUUUUUUUUCUUUGAAAUUUUAUUAGAUGAAACACAAGAGAAAAAGAAAAUAAACAAUAAAAAUGAAAAGAAAAAGAGAAGACGAUGUAGUUCAAAUUCUCUAGUCAGAAAUUAUAAAGCUGUGAAAAGAUUGCCCCGGUAUAAUUUGGAAAUUAACACAAGACUGAGUCAAUAGGGUAGCUCAUCAUUCAGAAGUUCACAAAAUGUGAAGCAUAGGAAGUCUUUUUCCACUACUCUGGGGCCUUAACCAUCAGCUUUUUCAUUUCCCCCAUUGAUUUCUUGCAACAAUUGAGGAAUGUUUCAAUCCCCUUAAGCGGGUUAAAAUAUCGGCAAUGCAGACACAACCUCGGCUAAUGACCUAGGAACGUUUUCAAUGGCUUUAUUGGUAAGGGAAGCUAGUUGUGAGAGGCUUCACUUUCAAUUCUCCCUUGUUCAACAACAUGUUCCUUCAUUUGAAUUACCAAUUCUUGAUUUAUACUUUUUAGCAUGAUGCUAACCUUCCUUCUUCAGUUUGGCCACUGCUGCUUUCACACGUUGUUCAGCAUUGUGAAAUUACUUUUCACCAUUUGGGUCAGGAGAAAUUAACUUGGAUGACAACUUGACUGUAUUGACCCCCUUGGUGUGGUGGCAGGAGAAGAGAAUGGGCCCAACAGCCUGGCCCAAGCCUAACCCUAACAGAAACAUUAGGGGUUUCUCUAGCUUCCUCUCAUUCACGCAUAUGCAAAUACAGAGACCUCUAGACUCUCUCUUCCAAAUCCAGCCCAGGGAUAGAUGCGCCUCCUCCGCCUGCACACUACCACCAGCGGCUCUGACAACACUCUGAACGGCCACCGCAGGCCGCUGUCCUUUGCGUCGCCAGAGCUGCCGCCAGACAUCACGGCGGACCGCCACCACCUUGCCCCUUUCUCCUUCGCGCGAGAGGAAGACGAACUCACUUGGACGCGUGCUCCUCGUUGCCGGCGAAACCGGGACCGUCAGUCGUUGGCCAUGAUGUCGCCGCUUUGCUGCGUCUCCGAGAGCCACCACGAGGAUUCUCUCUUCUUCCUCUGAACGCGACGCGUCUUCUCCCCAAUUUGGAGCACACCGUCGUACCUUCCACCUUGAGAGAACUACCACCCCAAAAUUAUGCUAGCGACUCUGCCGACGCUUCUAGUAGUUGUCCAAGACCAUCACCAGGUUUGCCAAUGGAAUAGGUGCAAGCAACAUCUCCCAUCUUCUCCUAUCGAUUAGAUAUUCACAAUGAAGAUGGUGAGAUUUGGGGUUUCCUCCUCUAUUUGAUGGUUGUAUGUAUUUUAUUGAAUAUGUGAUGGACUGGAAGUAAGGGUUUGAUGCUUCAAGAAUUGAGAUGAAUUGGUAUGUGAUGAUGGAAGGCGUAAGGGAGACUAGGAAGCGGAUUUGGCUCUUUCUAUUUUGGUUUUUGAAUGCAGGGAAAAUGGUUUUAGAAGUAUGAUGAGGAGGAUGGGAAUGAAGAUAGAUGGAGAUGAAAAUGAUGGAAGGGUGCUGACAGUGGGAGAGACCGUGAAUGGAGAUGGUUACGGUUUUUGGGUAGAGCAGAGGGAUGGAUUCUGGGUUAUGUGUGAUCAAGAAUUGGUUUCCAUUUUUCUGUUGAUUGGGAGUGAUGAAAGAGUGAUGAAUUAUGGUAGUUUUNNUGUGCGUGCUGGGAUGGAGAGGAAAAGAUUGUGUGNGGUUCUGUUUNUGUUGUUGGUGAGUCCUAAGGAAAUUGUCUGUAGUGUUGAUGAGUGAUCCGAUUGGGCAAGGCCAGGAUAAGUGGUGGGGCUGUGUGAUGGAGCCAGAGUGAUGAAUCUGUUAAAAAAAAUGGUGUGUGUCCAGAAGGAUUGGGCAAUGACCGUGGUUGAAUAUUGGAGGUUGUUGGAGAUAAGGGGAGAAUUCCUCUGCUUCAUAUGCCAUGUGUGUUGAGUGAUCAAGCCUGGUCCGUUCUUCUGCUUGGGUGUGAUGAAGGAUAUGGAAGACCCAUUCUGUUAUGUUCCCCCUUUCCAUUUCCAAAACGUGUCCUUUUUUCCAACUAUAUUUUUUUUCGUUUUCCUUUUUUUUUCUUUCGUUUUCUUUUCUUUAUUUUCUUUUUUGUUCUUUCUUUUUUUUUUUCUUUUUCAUUGCUUUUCCUUUUAUCUUUUUUAUUCUUUCGUUUUUUUCUUUUACUUUUUUUUUUCAUUCAUUUUUUCCUUUUCUUUUUCAUCAUUUCUUUUUCGUUUUCUUUUUCCUUCUUUUUUUUCGAAAUAAUAAAAUCAAAUGAAAACUAAAAUUAAA
RNAcentral lists this long non-coding RNA (2738 nucleotides) under Vigna radiata. RNAcentral describes it as "long non-coding RNA (VRAD_LNC006663)". The record is from RNAcentral. Lineage: Eukaryota; Viridiplantae; Streptophyta; Magnoliopsida; Fabales; Fabaceae.